RNAcentral lists this microRNA precursor (82 nucleotides) under Glycine max (soybean). RNAcentral's name for it is "miR5781 stem-loop (gma-MIR5781)". Lineage: Eukaryota; Viridiplantae; Streptophyta; Magnoliopsida; Fabales; Fabaceae. The record is from miRBase by way of RNAcentral.
CCAACUUCAGGCUCAGGAGGCAGUGUGAGUUCUUGUGAUUGCAUCUGCGACUGAAACUGAGACUGCAUCUGGAUGAAGGAUA